Molecule: ribosomal RNA, 478 nt
Filed under: uncultured bacterium
Lineage: Bacteria
Description: partial 16S ribosomal RNA
Rfam family: Bacterial small subunit ribosomal RNA
Source: RNAcentral
GAUGAACGCUGGCGGCGUGCUUAACACAUGCAAGUCGAACGGGAAUUAUUUUCUUGUAACUUCGGUCGGUUUAAUUUACUUCUAGUGGCGGCCUGAUGAGUAACGCGUUGGUAACCUGCCUUCUACAGGGGGAUAACAGUCAGACAUGGCUGCUAAUACCGCAUCAGCGCACAGAGCUGCAUGGCUCAGUGUGUAAAACUCCGGUGGUAUGAGAUGGACCCGCGUUGGAUUAGCUUGUUGGCAGGGUAAUGGCCUACCAAGGAGACGAUCCAGAGCCGGCAUGAGAGGCUGAAAGACCACAACUGAGAUAAGGCACAGACCAGACUCCUACGGAAGGGAGGAGUGGGGAAUAUAGCAGAAUGGGGGAAGACCUGAUGAAGCGACGCGGGGUGAAGGAAGAAGUAUGUCGGUAAGUGAACUUCUAUCAGAAGGGGAGAUAGUGACGGUACCGGACAAAGAAGCACCGGCUAACUACGUG